This 636-nucleotide ribosomal RNA is filed under the name Shigella sonnei. RNAcentral's name for it is "partial 23S ribosomal RNA". It matches the Rfam family "Bacterial large subunit ribosomal RNA", at positions 2285 to 2915 of the family's 2925-position model. Lineage: Bacteria; Pseudomonadati; Pseudomonadota; Gammaproteobacteria; Enterobacterales; Enterobacteriaceae. The record is from RNAcentral.
UCCUCCUAAAGAGUAACGGAGGAGCACGAAGGUUGGCUAAUCCUGGUCGGACAUCAGGAGGUUAGUGCAAUGGCAUAAGCCAGCUUGACUGCGAGCGUGACGGCGCGAGCAGGUGCGAAAGCAGGUCAUAGUGAUCCGGUGGUUCUGAAUGGAAGGGCCAUCGCUCAACGGAUAAAAGGUACUCCGGGGAUAACAGGCUGAUACCGCCCAAGAGUUCAUAUCGACGGCGGUGUUUGGCACCUCGAUGUCGGCUCAUCACAUCCUGGGGCUGAAGUAGGUCCCAAGGGUAUGGCUGUUCGCCAUUUAAAGUGGUACGCGAGCUGGGUUUAGAACGUCGUGAGACAGUUCGGUCCCUAUCUGCCGUGGGCGCUGGAGAACUGAGGGGGGCUGCUCCUAGUACGAGAGGACCGGAGUGGACGCAUCACUGGUGUUCGGGUUGUCAUGCCAAUGGCACUGCCCGGUAGCUAAAUGCGGAAGAGAUAAGUGCUGAAAGCAUCUAAGCACGAAACUUGCCCCGAGAUGAGUUCUCCCUGACCCUUUAAGGGUCCUGAAGGAACGUUGAAGACGACGACGUUGAUAGGCCGGGUGUGUAAGCGCAGCGAUGCGUUGAGCUAACCGGUACUAAUGAACCGUGAG